UCCAAAUGAAUUGAGUGCUUCUCGAAAAUCCGAAAAUUAUGAUGCUAAUGACGGUGGCAGCCUUGAAAGAAAGAAUAAAGUUGAUGAGAUGCAUGGGCUGAACCCAAAUUAUGUGAUUGAUAACUUGAUAAGAAGUCAUAUUUCAUCAUCAGAAGCACGGAAUGUGCAUCAUGAGAAUGAUGCAGGCGAGGCAUCCUCCAGUUACCCAACCAAGAGAAAUGCUAGUCCAGUUAGACAGUGGA
This 242-nucleotide unclassified non-coding RNA is filed under the name Hevea brasiliensis (rubber tree). The record is from RNAcentral. Lineage: Eukaryota; Viridiplantae; Streptophyta; Magnoliopsida; Malpighiales; Euphorbiaceae.